GAUGAAGAACGCAGCGAAAUGCGAAAAGUAGUGUGAAUUGCAGAAUUCAGUGAAUCAUCGAAUCUUUGAACGCACAUUGCGCCCUUUGGUAUUCCUUAGGGCAUGCCUGUUCGAGCGUCAUUUAAACCUUCAAGCUCAGCUUGGUGUUGGGUGACUGUCCGCUUCACCGCGGACUCGCCUCAAAAUUAUUGGCGGCCGGUACAUUGGCUUCGAGCGCAGCAGAAACGCGAACUCGGGCCCGUCGUAUUGGCUCCCAGAAGCUAUCUUCACAAUUUUGACCUCGGAUCAGGUAGGGAUACCCGCUGAACUUAAGCAUAUCAAUAAGCGGAGGA
RNAcentral lists this unclassified non-coding RNA (332 nucleotides) under soil metagenome. RNAcentral describes it as "partial contains 5.8S ribosomal RNA, internal transcribed spacer 2, and large subunit ribosomal RNA". The stretch from base 1 to 120 matches the Rfam family "5.8S ribosomal RNA", at positions 35 to 154 of the family's 154-position model. The record is from RNAcentral.